UACGAAGGGUGCAAGCGUUACUCGGAAUUACUGGGCGUAAAGCGUGCGUAGGUGGUGAGUUAAGUCUGUCGUGAAAGCCCCGGGCUCAACCUGGGAAUGGCGAUGGAUACUGGCUCGCUAGAGUGCGGUAGAGGAGAGUGGAAUUCCCGGUGUAGCAGUGAAAUGCGUAGAGAUCGGGAGGAACAUCAGUUGCGAAGGCGGCUCUCUGGACCGGCACUGACACUGAGGCACGAAAGCGUGGGGAGCAAACAGG
This 253-nucleotide ribosomal RNA is filed under the name uncultured bacterium. RNAcentral describes it as "partial 16S ribosomal RNA". It matches the Rfam family "Bacterial small subunit ribosomal RNA", at positions 524 to 776 of the family's 1533-position model. The record is from RNAcentral.